RNAcentral lists this ribosomal RNA (497 nucleotides) under uncultured bacterium. RNAcentral's name for it is "partial 16S ribosomal RNA". It matches the Rfam family "Bacterial small subunit ribosomal RNA", at positions 28 to 507 of the family's 1533-position model. The record is from RNAcentral.
GAUGAACGCUGGCGGCGUGCCUAAUACAUGCAAGUCGAGCGAACGGGCGAGAAGCUUGCUUCUCUGAUGUUAGCGGCGGACGGGUGAGUAACACGUGGAUAACCUACCUAUAAGACUGGGAUAACUUCGGGAAACCGGAGCUAAUACCGGAUAAUAUUUUGAACCGCAUGGUUCAAAAGUGAAAGACGGUCUUGCUGUCACUUAUAGAUGGAUCCGCGCUGCAUUAGCUAGUUGGUAAGGUAACGGCUUACCAAGGCAACGAUGCAUAGCCGACCUGAGAGGGUGAUCGGCCACACUGGGACUGAGACACGGUCCAGAAUACUAAGGGAGGCAGCAGUAGGGAAUCUUCCGCAAUGGGCGGAAGCCUGACGGAGCAACGCCGCGUGAGUGAUGAAGGUCUUCGGAUCGUAAAACUCUGUUAAUAGGGAAGAACAUAUGUGUAAGUAACUGUGCACAUCUUGACGGUAACUUAUCAGAAAGCCACGGCUAACUACGUG